UCCUACGGGAGGCAGCAGUGAGGAAUAUUGGUCAAUGGGCGAGAGCCUGAACCAGCCAAGUCGCGUGAGGGAAGACGGUCCUAUGGAUUGUAAACCUCUUUUGCCGGGGAGCAAAAAGCGGUACGUGUACCGCAUCGAGAGUACCCGGAGAAAAAGCAUCGGCUAACUCCGUGCCAGCAGCCGCGGUAAUACGGAGGAUGCGAGCGUUAUCCGGAUUUAUUGGGUUUAAAGGGUGCGUAGGCGGAAUAUCAAGUCAGCGGUAAAAAUUCGGGGCUCAACCCCGUCGUGCCGUUGAAACUGAUGUU
Molecule: ribosomal RNA, 305 nt
Filed under: uncultured bacterium
Lineage: Bacteria
Description: bacterial SSU rRNA
Rfam family: Bacterial small subunit ribosomal RNA
Source: RNAcentral